GCUUAUACUCGACCGUCAGCGGCAAGUGCGAUCGCGCGAGCUUUCGAGCGAACGCGGUCACGAAGCCCUGACGAGUAGGAGGGUCGCGGCGGUGAGCGCAGAAGGGCUGGCCGCGAGGCCGUCUGGAGCCGCCGUCGGUGCAGAUCUUGGUGGUAGUAGCAAAUACUCCAGCGAGGCCCUGGAGGACUGACGUGGAGAAGGGUUUCGUGUGAACAGCCGUUGCACACGAGUCAGUCGAUCCUAAGCCCUAGGCGAAAGCCGAUGUCGAUGCGGUGUAGUUUUUACGAUAACAAUAAUAAUACGAGAAAUUCGACUACUACGACGACGACGGUGACGAAAUAAACGUUAAUUCGUCUCGUCCUUCGUCGUUGCGAAUAAUCGUAUAACUAACGCGAGAGCACACACCCGUCGGGCGAAAGGGAAUCCGGUUCCUAUUCCGGAACCUGGCAGCGGAACCGUCAAAAAGUCGGGC
This 472-nucleotide ribosomal RNA is filed under the name Echinodera variegata. RNAcentral's name for it is "eukaryotic LSU rRNA". It matches the Rfam family "Eukaryotic large subunit ribosomal RNA", at positions 1340 to 1663 of the family's 3401-position model. Lineage: Eukaryota; Metazoa; Arthropoda; Insecta; Coleoptera; Curculionidae. The record is from RNAcentral. RNAcentral also lists the same sequence under 1 other name.